GGAGUUUGGCUGGGGCGGCA
Molecule: non-coding RNA, 20 nt
Filed under: Arabidopsis thaliana (thale cress)
Lineage: Eukaryota; Viridiplantae; Streptophyta; Magnoliopsida; Brassicales; Brassicaceae
Also listed under: 1 other name
Source: RNAcentral